Regulatory RNA element from Clostridium magnum DSM 2767, 116 nucleotides. It matches the Rfam family "Ribosomal protein L20 leader". From Rfam's summary of the family: This family is a putative r-protein leader autoregulatory structure found in B. subtilis and other low-GC Gram-positive bacteria. NCBI's taxonomy places the organism in Bacteria, Bacillati, Bacillota, Clostridia, Eubacteriales, Clostridiaceae. The record is from Rfam.
UUUGUUAAGAAGAAACAGCCGUUUCUCACCUUGCAGCACAGCUAGUAAGGUUUGAGCAAUUCUUUAUUAAGUAUUGUGUAUUUUCAGGACGGCAUUUGCCGUCCUUUUUUAGUGUA